This 253-nucleotide ribosomal RNA is filed under the name uncultured bacterium. RNAcentral describes it as "partial 16S ribosomal RNA". It matches the Rfam family "Bacterial small subunit ribosomal RNA", at positions 524 to 776 of the family's 1533-position model. The record is from RNAcentral.
UAUAGAGGUCCCAAGCGUUACUGAGAAUCACUGGGUUUAAAGGGUGCGUAGGUGGCACGUUAAGUCAGUUGUGAAAUCCCCGGGCUCAACCCGGGAACUGCUUCUGAUACUGGCGUGCUUGAGGCCAGUAGGGGUCACUAGAACUGACGGUGGAGCGGUGAAAUGCGUAGAUAUCGUCAGGAAUGCCGGUGGUGAAGACGGGUGACUGGGCUGGUUCUGACACUGAGGCACGAAAGCGUGGGGAGCGAACGGG